GACGAACGCUGGCGGCGUGCUUAACACAUGCAAGUCGAACGGUGAAGCUCCAGCUUGCUGGAGUGGAUCAGUGGCGAACGGGUGAGUAACACGUGAGCAACCUGCCCCUGACUCUGGAAUAAGCGCUGGAAACGGCGUCUAAUACUGGAUACGAGAAGGGUCCGCAUGGGCACUUUCUGGAAAGUUUUUCGGUUGGGGAUGGGCUCGCGGCCUAUCAGCUUGUUGGUUAGGUAAUGGCUCACCAAGGCGACGACGGGUAGCCGGCCUGAGAGGGCGACCGGCCACACUGGGACUGAGACACGGCCCAGACUCCUACGGGAGGCAGCAGUGGGGAAUAUUGCACAAUGGGCGAAAGCCUGAUGCAGCGACGCCGCGUGAGGGAUGACGGCCUUCGGGUUGUAAACCUCUUUCAGCAGGGAAGAAGCGAAAGUGACGGUACCUGCAGAAGAAGCACCGGCUAACUACGUG
RNAcentral lists this ribosomal RNA (468 nucleotides) under uncultured bacterium. RNAcentral describes it as "partial 16S ribosomal RNA". It matches the Rfam family "Bacterial small subunit ribosomal RNA", at positions 28 to 507 of the family's 1533-position model. The record is from RNAcentral.